GUGAAGAGCAGCACAUAUACUAAAAUUAGAACAAUACAGAGAAAAUUAGUAUGGCCCCUUAGCAAAUGAUUUUUCCCUGUUCAUUAAAGUUGUGUUCCGUAUUC
Molecule: small nuclear RNA, 104 nt
Organism: Cricetulus griseus (Chinese hamster)
Lineage: Eukaryota; Metazoa; Chordata; Mammalia; Rodentia; Cricetidae
Source: Ensembl